This 801-nucleotide ribosomal RNA is filed under the name uncultured Glomus. RNAcentral's name for it is "SSU rRNA". It matches the Rfam family "Eukaryotic small subunit ribosomal RNA", at positions 314 to 1114 of the family's 1831-position model. The record is from RNAcentral. Lineage: Eukaryota; Fungi; Glomeromycota; Glomeromycetes; Glomerales; Glomeraceae.
AUCAACUUUCGAUUGGUAGGAUAGAGGCCUACCAUGGUGGUAACGGGUAACGGGGUGUUAGGGCACGACACCGGAGAGGGAGCCUGAGAAACGGCUACCACAUCCAAGGAUGGCAGCAGGCGCGCAAAUUACCCCAUCCCGACACGGGGAGGUAGUGACAAUAAAUAACAAUACGGGGUCCUUUCGGGUUUCGUAAUUGGAAUGAGUACAAUUUAAAUCUCUUAACGAGGAACAAUUGGAGGGCAAGUCUGGUGCCAGCAGCCGCGGUAAUUCCAGCUCCAAUAGCGUAUAUUAAAGUUGUUGCAGUUAAAAAGCUCGUAGUUGAAUUUCGGGAUCAGUACGCCGGUCGUGCCUUCGGUAUGCACUGGUGUCACUGGUUUCUCCCUUCUGAAGAACCAUCAUGCCAUUCAGUUGGUGUGGCGGGGAAUCAGGACUGUUACUUUGAAAAAAUUAGAAUGUUUAAAGCAGGCUCGCGCUUGAAUACAUUAGCAUGGAAUAAUGAAAUAGGACGUUUGACCCUAUUUUGUUGGUUUCUAGGAUCGACGUAAUGAUUAAUAGGGAUAGUUGGGGGCAUUAGUAUUCAAUUGUCAGAGGUGAAAUUCUUGGAUUUAUUGAAGACUAACUACUGCGAAAGCAUUUGCCAAGGAUGUUUUCAUUAAUCAAGAACGAAAGUUAGGGGAUCGAAGACGAUCAGAUACCGUCGUAGUCUUAACCAUAAACUAUGCCGACUAGGGAUCGGAUGAUGUUAAUUUUUUUAAUGACUCAUUCGGCGCCUUACGGGAAACCAAAGUGUUUGGGUUC